Molecule: small nuclear RNA, 185 nt
Organism: Chionomys nivalis (European snow vole)
Lineage: Eukaryota; Metazoa; Chordata; Mammalia; Rodentia; Cricetidae
Product: U2 spliceosomal RNA
Exons: 1
Source: RefSeq, a predicted model, not a curated record
UUAACUGUCACUCUUCAGUCUUUUCAAGUGUAGUAUCUGUUCUUAUCAGGUUAAUAUUUAAUAUAUCCUCUAAAGACAAUACACUAAAUGGACAUUGGAGCUAGGAAAAUGGAUGGGAACUUGAUUUGUCCACUCCAAAUGUAGACCUCUUAUUGCAGUACCUAGAAUAGUACUGGUAAAAUUUU